CAAGGUUCUGGCUCCAACAUUUACACAGGGGUUCCUUGAAGACCCUUUUCAGAGAGGUUCCAGGUUUAACUGGAAAGGUUCGGCCUGUGUAGCAACACAAAAGGUUCUUCCAGGCACUUUUACUGUAGACUAGCAGGAUGGAUGUAGUUGUAUACAUGCAGAACACACUGAUCACCCACCCAUGUUAUUGUAAGAUAUUAUAGAUGCACAGACAAACAGAAAAGACAACUGACCGUUCUUCCUCUGUACAGCUGGUGGAGUGCCCAACUAGACCAAAAUGGACCAAGACAACCAUCAGGAAGAUGGAGAACACUUUUAAGAAGCUGGACACCAACAGGACUUACAAGGCCAUCGGAGAGUUCAAGACCGUCCUCCUGUGGAUCAGUGACAUGAGAGAGAGAAAGGAAAGGUCAAUGGAUAAAUGCCAGUAGUCAUCCAUCCAUCCAUCCACCCAUCCAUCCAUCCAUCCAUCCAUCCACACUGUCAAACUGGAGAAGUGGACUGUCACUGACACACACAGAGGAGACCUUCCAGUCACUCCUGAAGAAUGAAUGCCUCUGAUAUCAUGUCAACCACAGCUUCCAUCCACCCCUGGCCUGGACAGUCUUCUAUCUAAUCUACACGAUCACCUGGAGCAAUGGACUGUGCACACACACACACACACACACACACAACUCCACCCAUUCACCACUGGCCUGUGUACCAGCCACUCCAGCCUCCAAGUAAUCUGAUGCACCAGACUCUACCUCCCACGGCACAAAAGCCUGGGGACUAGGUUUGCAUCCAACGGACUCCAACUGACAUCAUUGGCCUAAAUAAUCAGCACAUUUCCAUUAUACAGGAGCUCAACUUGUAAGUGAAUGUUUUUGGAGCACUGUCCCAUGAGUCCACCAUAACAGUGAGUCAUCACAGGAUGCUGCUCAGUGUCCAGUUGUACAACACUGUAGAGUACAACAAACGGUCCUUCUAUUUUCUAUGGUGGUUCCAUCAUUGGUUUAAAGGUGGCUGUGACGGUCUCCUGGCUCUCUGACCACCUGACUGAUUGACCUGUAAUGCUGAGAACAUUCCUGCAGGUCUGUUAUCUUUCACAAGUGUACCUUUACCUGCAUUCCACCUGUACUUUUUUUUUAUUUAACCUUUAUUUAACUAGGCAAGUCAGUUAAGAACAAAUUCUUAUUUACAAUGACGGCCUAGGAACAGUGGGUUAACUGCCUUGUUCAGAGGCAGAACGACAGAUUUUUACCUUGUCAGCUCGGGGAUUCAAUCUAGCAACCUUUCAGUUACUGGCCCAACGCUCUAACCACUAGGCUACCUGCCUCCCGGGUUCAAUCAAAGCCCUACCAUAGUAAUGUUUUGAUGCAGUAUCUUUGCAUACAAACGACUGGAUGGAAAGCAUAGUGAGUGGAGUAUCUCCAUUAAAAGUCCACUUUAGUCCAGGUCUAGUCUUCAUCUAGUCCUUACAAUAGAUACAGCUCUCUUUUGUCAAGAACAAUGCAAUUGUCAAAGCUUUGAAUCAUAUCCACUCAAUGUAGGAUUUUAGCAGUAUUUUGGUAUUUCAAUAGGAAAAGUGUAUUUUCUUAAAUGUUUUUCUUUAGUUAUAUUUACUUAGGUUCAUAUUUAUAGUUUUAUAAAAUAUUAUUUGAUUAUUAUUUUUCAUAUAAAUGAGGAUGUUAUUGUCUGUGACAGGUGAACAUAGUUGUGUUCAAAA
This 1708-nucleotide long non-coding RNA is filed under the name Salmo salar (Atlantic salmon). Its description in RNAcentral is "lncRNA (ENSSSAG00000118524.1)". Lineage: Eukaryota; Metazoa; Chordata; Actinopteri; Salmoniformes; Salmonidae. The record is from RNAcentral.